Molecule: non-coding RNA, 27 nt
Filed under: Homo sapiens (human)
Lineage: Eukaryota; Metazoa; Chordata; Mammalia; Primates; Hominidae
Source: RNAcentral
UGCACCAAGAGCAACCUCACACGGUGU